AGUAAAUUGGUUAAGUUAGAAAGGGCGCACGGUGGAUGCCUUGGCACUAGGAGCCGAAGAAGGACGGGACUAACACCGAUAUGCUUUGGGGAGCUGUACGUAAGCGUUGAUCCAGAGAUUUCCGAAUGGGGGAACCCACUAUCUUUAGUCGGAUAGUAUCCUUACGUGAAUACAUAGCGUGAGGAAGGCAGACCCAGGGAACUGAAACAUCUAAGUACCUGGAGGAAGAGAAAGAAAAAUCGAUUUCCUGAGUAGCGGCGAGCGAAACGGAAAGAGCCCAAACCAAGAAGCUUGCUUCUUGGGGUUGUAGGACACUCUAUACGGAGUUACAAAAGAAAGUUAUAAAUGAAGCGGUCUGGAAAGGCCCGCCAAAGACGGUAACAGCCCGGUAGUUGAAAUGGCUUUCCCUCCAGAGUGGAUCCUGAGUACGGCGGAACACGUGAAAUUCCGUCGGAAUCCGGGAGGACCAUCUCCCAAGGCUAAAUACUCCCUAGUGACCGAUAGUGAACCAGUACCGUGAGGGAAAGGUGAAAAGCACCCCGGAAGGGGAGUGAAACAGUUCCUGAAACCGUGUGCCUACAAG
RNAcentral lists this ribosomal RNA (583 nucleotides) under Listeria monocytogenes. Its description in RNAcentral is "partial 23S ribosomal RNA". It matches the Rfam family "Bacterial large subunit ribosomal RNA", at positions 1 to 570 of the family's 2925-position model. Lineage: Bacteria; Bacillati; Bacillota; Bacilli; Caryophanales; Listeriaceae. The record is from RNAcentral.